AUGAGAAUGCAGCGAAACUUUUGCUUAAUAACCACGCCGACCCCAGGAAUUCUCUCACGCAGAGGUAAGAACAUUAAAAAAGAAAGGAAGUACAGAGGGUGUGUAACAAUGGAAGAUUGCAUGGAAAGUUCUCCUUUGCUGUUAGUACAUCUUAGGAAAACAUUCAGCUGGAACAUAACCAGGCCCAGAGCUGCUGAAAUGACUUGCAGUCCCAGAGCUGCUAGAGUGAAUUAG
This 234-nucleotide long non-coding RNA is filed under the name Delphinapterus leucas (beluga whale). RNAcentral describes it as "lncRNA (ENSDLEG00000013615.1)". Lineage: Eukaryota; Metazoa; Chordata; Mammalia; Artiodactyla; Monodontidae. The record is from RNAcentral.